UGAACGCUGGCGGCGUGCUUAACACAUGCAAGUCGAACGAUGAAGCCUAGCUUGCUAGGUGGAUUAGUGGCGCACGGGUGAGUAAUAUAUAGAUAAUGUGCCUCUUAGUCUGGGAUAGCCAUUGGAAACGAUGAUUAAUACUAGAUACUCCUUCUAACUCUAAUGUUAGUCGGGAAAGUUUUUUCGCUAAGAGAUCAGUCUAUAUCCCAUCAGCUUGUUGGUAGUGUAAGAGACUACCAAGGCUAUGACGGGUAGCGGGUUUGAGAGGAUGAUCCGCCACACUGGUACUGAGACACGGACCAGACUCCUACGGGAGGCAGCAGUGAGGAAUAUUGCACAAUGGGGGAAACCCUGAUGCAGCAACGCCGCGUGGAGGAUGACGCAUUUCGGUGUGUAAACUCCUUUUAUGAGUCAAGAAAAUGACGGUAGCUAAUGAAUAAGCACCGGCUAACUCC
This 455-nucleotide ribosomal RNA is filed under the name uncultured bacterium. Its description in RNAcentral is "bacterial SSU rRNA". It matches the Rfam family "Bacterial small subunit ribosomal RNA", at positions 30 to 504 of the family's 1533-position model. The record is from RNAcentral.